AUUGAACGCUGGCGGCAGGCCUAACACAUGCAAGUCGAGCGGAUGAAGGGAGCUUGCUCCUGGAUUCAGCGGCGGACGGGUGAGUAAUGCCUAGGAAUCUGCCUUGUAGUGGGGGAUAACGUCCGGAAACGGGCGCUAAUACCGCAUACGUCCUGAGGGAGAAAGUGGGGGAUCUUCGGACCUCAAGCUAUCAGAUGAGCCUAGGUCGGAUUAGCUAGUUGGUGGGGUAAAGGCCUACCAAGGCGACGAUCCGUAACUGGUCUGAGAGGAUGAUCAGUCACACUGGAACUGAGACACGGUCCAGACUCCUACGGGAGGCAGCAGUGGGGAAUAUUGGACAAUGGGCGAAAGCCUGAUCCAGCAAUGCCGCGUGUGUGAAGAAGGUCUUCGGAUUGUAAAGCACUUUAAGUUGGGAGGAAGGGCAGUAAGUUAAUACCUUGCUGUUUUGACGUUACCAACAGAAUAAGCACCGGCUAACUUCGUG
Molecule: ribosomal RNA, 484 nt
Filed under: uncultured bacterium
Lineage: Bacteria
Description: partial 16S ribosomal RNA
Rfam family: Bacterial small subunit ribosomal RNA
Source: RNAcentral